AAUUUUGCGCAAUGGGCGAAAGCCUGACGCAGCAACGCCGCGUGAAUGAUGACGCCCUUCGGGGUGUAAAGUUCUGUCAGUGGGGACGAAACUUGACGGUACCCACAGAGGAAGCACCGGCUAACUCCGUGCCAGCAGCCGCGGUAAUACGGAGGGUGCAAGCGUUGUCCGGAAUCAUUGGGCGUAAAGAGUUCGUAGGUGGCAUGUUAAGUCUGGUGUUAAAGCCCGAAGCUCAACUUCGGUUCGGCACUGGAUACUGGCAAGCUUGAAUGUGGUAGAGGUAAAGGGAAUUCCUGGUGUAGCGGUGAAAUGCGUAGAUAUCAGGAGGAACAUCGGUGGCGAAAGCGCUUUGCCGGGCCAUUAUUGACGCUGAGGAACGAAAGCCGGGGUAGCAAAUGGG
This 400-nucleotide ribosomal RNA is filed under the name uncultured bacterium. Its description in RNAcentral is "bacterial SSU rRNA". It matches the Rfam family "Bacterial small subunit ribosomal RNA", at positions 360 to 776 of the family's 1533-position model. The record is from RNAcentral.